GGAAAAGAAACCAACAGGGAUUGCCCUAGUAACGGCGAGUGAAGCGGCAACAGCUCAAAUUUGAAAGCUGGCUCUCGGGCCCGCAUUGUAAUUUGCAGAGGAUGCUUCUGGCGACGCGCCUUCCGAGUUCCCUGGAACGGGACGCCAUAGAGGGUGAGAGCCCCGUCCGGUCGUGCGCCUAGCCUCUGUGAAGCUCCUUCGACGAGUCGAGUAGUUUGGGAAUGCUGCUCAAAAUGGGAGGUAUACGUCUUCUAAAGCUAAAUACCGGCCAGAGACCGAUAGCGCACAAGUAGAGUGAUCGAAAGAUGAAAAGCACUUUGAAAAGAGAGUUAAAAAGUACGUGAAAUUGUUGAAAGGGAAGCGCUCAUGACCAGACUUGGGCUGGCCCGAUCAUCCGGCGUUCUCGCCGGUGCACUCGGGCCGCCCAGGCCAGCAUCAGCUUUCGCCGGGGGAUAAAGGCGGCGGGAAUGUGGCUCCCUCGGGAGUGUUAUAGCCCGCCGUGCAAUACCCUGGUGGGGGCUGAGGUUCGCGCGUAUGCACGGAUGCUGGCGUAAUGGUUAUCAGCGACCGG
This 571-nucleotide ribosomal RNA is filed under the name Trichothecium roseum. Its description in RNAcentral is "partial large subunit ribosomal RNA". It matches the Rfam family "Eukaryotic large subunit ribosomal RNA", at positions 55 to 651 of the family's 3401-position model. Lineage: Eukaryota; Fungi; Ascomycota; Sordariomycetes; Hypocreales. The record is from RNAcentral.